Long non-coding RNA from Prionailurus viverrinus (fishing cat), 347 nucleotides. RefSeq lists it as uncharacterized. The transcript has 4 exons. The record is from RefSeq and is a predicted model, not a curated record. NCBI's taxonomy places the organism in Eukaryota, Metazoa, Chordata, Mammalia, Carnivora, Felidae.
CAAGCCUCCCUACAGCCACCUGCUGGAAGUCACACAGGUGGCAGGGUGUUGCCUUGCUCAGUUUUCAAGGGUUACACUCAGCAGAAAAAGCCUGCAUCGGACGCAUGUGUCCUGAGAGCAUUCUGAGCAGCUUCAGGAACUGCUUGUCUUCAUAGUCAAAGCGGCUUCCAAAGACGACAGAACUGAUGACAUUUGAGACAGUGCGGCUCAGGAAGAAGCUGGGAUGUGGAAUUGAUGGCUGGAGCUCUAGCAGUCAUUUGCAUCAUGACAUGAUCUUGGGAAUGGAAAACACACAUCAUAGAACAAGAGAGAAGAGCCAGACCCUGUGGAGCACCCUACACUGACAA